Molecule: ribosomal RNA, 1354 nt
Filed under: Pseudorhombus arsius (largetooth flounder)
Lineage: Eukaryota; Metazoa; Chordata; Actinopteri; Pleuronectiformes; Paralichthyidae
Description: 16S ribosomal RNA
Rfam family: Bacterial large subunit ribosomal RNA
Source: RNAcentral
AAACCAUUUUUCCCCCUAAGUCUAGGUGAUAAAAAAGGAAACCCGGAGCAAUAGAAAAAGUACCGCAAGGGAAAGCUGAAAGAGAGAUGAAACAGACCAGUAAAGCCUAGCGAAGCAGAGAUUAAAGCUCGUACCUUUUGCAUCAUGAUUUAGCCAGAACCUUCAAGCAAAGAGAACUAAAAGUUUGAAACCCCGAAACUGAGUGAGCUACUCCAAGGCAGCCUAGAUUGUAGGGCAAACCCGUCUCUGUGGCAAAAGAGUGGGAAGAACUUUGAGUAGGGGUGACAGACCUACCGAACUCAGUGAUAGCUGGUUGCUCAUGAAUUGGAUAGAAGUUCAGCCCCAAAGCUUUCCUCAGUCACACUCACAGGACACUUCUGUACCCAUUUUGGAUGCAAAUGAAAUCUUGGACGGUUAGUCAAAGGGGGUACAGCCCCUUUGAGACAAGACACAACUUUUUCAGAAGGAUAAAGAUCAUACUUCAACAAGGAUUAAUGUUCUAGUGGGCCUAAAAGCAGCCACCUUAAAUAAUAGCGUUAAAGCUUAAACAUAAGCUCCUCCCCAGAUACCGAUAACACAUCUUAACCCCCUGAUACGUAAUGAGCCGCCCCAUGCUAUACAUGGGAAUGACCAUGCUAAUAUGAGUAAUAAGAGAGCAACUACGGCCCUCUCCUUGCACACGUGUAAAUCGGACCGGACCUACCACCGAACAUUAACGGCCCCAAUCAAAGAGGGCAUUGGAAAAUACUACCAUCAACCAGAAGAACCCCCAACUAAAUCCCGUUACCCCCACACUGGUGUGCACUUAAGGAAAGACCCAAGGGGGAAGAAGGAACUCGGCAAACAUAACUAGAAGCCUCGCCUGUUUACCAAAAACAUCGCCUCUUGCAAAACACAAUAUAAGAGGUCCCGCCUGCCCAGUGACAAUUUGUUUAACGGCCGCGGUAUUUUGACCGUGCUAAGGUAGCGUAAUCACUUGUCUUUUAAAUGAAGACCCGUAUGAAUGGCAAAACGAGGGCUUAACUGUCUCCUUCCCCAAGUCAAUGAAAUUGAUCUCCCCGUGCAGAAGCGGGGAUUACACCAUAAGACGAGAAGACCCUAUGGAGCUUUAGACAAAUGAUUGAACCGCAUUCCCUAAACCCCUACCACGGGAUUAAAUUUCGUGGAUCAUCUUUCAAUGUCUUCGGUUGGGGCGACCAUGGGGAAGACAAAACCCCCACGUGGAAAGGGGAUAUAAACGCACGACCACAACCCCUCAAGGCAGGGCGACAGCCCUACCUAACAGAAAUUCUGACCAAUCUGAUCCGGCCAAUCCGAUCAACGAACCAAGUUACCCUAGGGAUAACAGCGCAAU